This 484-nucleotide ribosomal RNA is filed under the name uncultured bacterium. Its description in RNAcentral is "partial 16S ribosomal RNA". It matches the Rfam family "Bacterial small subunit ribosomal RNA", at positions 30 to 507 of the family's 1533-position model. The record is from RNAcentral.
AUUGAACGCUGGCGGCAGGCCUAACACAUGCAAGUCGAGCGGAUGAAGGGAGCUUGCUCCUGGAUUCAGCGGCGGACGGGUGAGUAAUGCCUAUGAAUCUGCCUGGUAGUGGGGGAUAACGUCCGGAAACGGGCGCUAAUACCGCAUACGUCCUGAGGGAGAAAGUGGGGGAUCUUCGGACCUCACGCUAUCAGAUGAUCCUAGGUCGGAUUAGCUAGUUGGUGGGGUAAAGGCCUACCAAGGCGACGAUCCGUAACUGGUCUGAGAGGAUGAUCAGUCACACUGGAACUGAGACACGGUCCAGACUCCUACGGGAGGCAGCAGUGGGGAAUAUUGGACAAUGGGCGAAAGCCUGAUCCAGCCAUGCCGCGUGUGUGAAGAAGGUCUUCGGAUUGUAAAGCACUUUAAGUUGGGAGGAAGGGCAGUAAGUUAAUACCGUGCUGUUUUGACGUUACCAACAGAAUAAGCACCGGCUAACUUCGUG